Neopelma chrysocephalum (saffron-crested tyrant-manakin) is the source of this 322-nucleotide long non-coding RNA. RefSeq lists it as uncharacterized. The record is from RefSeq and is a predicted model, not a curated record. The transcript is spliced from 3 exons. Lineage: Eukaryota; Metazoa; Chordata; Aves; Passeriformes; Pipridae.
CUGGGAAUGCUUCUCCAACAGCUUGGAUGGAAGAUGCUUUGAGUGCCUUGAGGUCUCCUGCAGGGGUGUCCACAGGGAGGACUUUUCCAGCUCCUGAGCUUAUUCCUCUGCACAAGCCCAGCUCACAUGGCAGGGAGAUGGACCAAGGGGCUGUUCAGAAGUCAAUGUUCCCGGAAGGAAGCAGUGGCUCCGUGCCAGGGUCUGCUGAGGGAAGGGAGGCGAUGCCAGGCACGGGCACACGGGGUAAUUGCUGUGGCGUGGUCAGCCGGUGUCGGCCAUCGGGGUGGCUGUGUGGCAGCAGCUCUUCCCCCAGUGCCCGCUC